CAUAUGUCGAACGUACGACUCAACUCGCGCUUCUACUACUUAAAAAAAAUUUAGCAUCGUUAAGUCCAGCUGAUCAUGACACAUAUUUCAAUCGUGUUAUGACACUUUUAUCAAUCCUUUUAUUUAUAUAUAUUUAAGAAAGGAAAGGCCGUCACAUCGUGUGUGGAGCUUUUCUCCAGUCGACCUCGCAUUGCGGUUCCGCGGAUUAAUCAGUUAGGAAUGCCAGGCUGACGGCGAGGAAGGACCGAGGGAAAGGAGCGAUCGGAACUCCGAAUUGUCUGUAAAAUUAGAAUAAACAGGAAGUCGCAGGUGCUUAAAUGAUGUAAAAUGACAGAGAUUCAGAGAAAGGAUGGCAUUCUGCUACUCCAUUGGAAACCGAUGUUUGUUCGAUAUCGCGCGAGCGAAUCGCGGUAUUAACGUGGGUGUCCCAGAAGGACGGGAGGGAGGACGCAAAGAGACGACGACCCGGCAUUGUGUGAACCUCCGCUAUUACAUCCAAGGUUACCCCCGACGAGUCCUGCAGAGGAGUAUGCAAGAGCAUAAUGCCAACGUUGUCUGAUUAAUGCGUUGAGGUUAUCAGCGCGAGCGGGAAACGAAGCAGGAAAUAUUUAACGCAGUCGUAAACGAGAAAGCAAACAUUUUUUCUUCGACAGAAAGAGAGCGAUAAGGAGACGCGAGAAUAAAAACAGGAAGGUUCCCCCGGGCGAACUUCCGGCGUGAUGAGAGACGCGGCGAAAGAAGAUGGACAUCUUCUUUUUUUUUUCAUUCACGCACGUAUCUUGUAUUAUGCACGCGUGUUGUAUUAUGCCGCACGUGAUCCGUUCAACCGUUAGACACGCGCGACGCAAUAAACGUGAGUCCCUCACGUGAGCGCGACAAAGCGUAUCAAUAAAGAUACACCCACGUUCGGACAGUUGCGUGUGGAUAUAUAAUUUUUCUUUUCUAAUCUAAUGGCGACUCGCGCGUACAACGUUGAUUAAUUCGUCGCGCGCGCCAGCGAAUUGUCCUCCACGUUUCCGUUAGGUGUAGUUUAACAGGCGGCUUAAUUUAUGAGGCAAUUACGAAUUGAAGUAAUUGCGUCGUUCACGACAACUGCGCAAAUAUAAUAGUGCUGCAAAUUUUCCAAGAGAAACGCAAUCGCACAAGUUAAUAUCAAAAUAUAAAAAUAUAAAGAUAAUAAAGAUUGAGAAACAUGUCUUGAUCAUUAUUCCGUACCUUUA
Nylanderia fulva is the source of this 1220-nucleotide long non-coding RNA. RefSeq lists it as uncharacterized. The record is from RefSeq and is a predicted model, not a curated record. NCBI's taxonomy places the organism in Eukaryota, Metazoa, Arthropoda, Insecta, Hymenoptera, Formicidae.